UUUUAUGAGAGUUUGAUCCUGGCUCAGGACGAACGCUGGCGGCGUGCCUAAUACAUGCAAGUCGAACGCAUUUUCUUCCACCGUAGCUUGCUACACCGGAAGAAAAUGAGUGGCGAACGGGUGAGUAACACGUGGGUAACCUGCCCAUCAGCGGGGGAUAACACUUGGAAACAGGUGCUAAUACCGCAUAAUUUCAUUUACCGCAUGGUAGAUGGAUGAAAGGCGCUUUUGCGUCACUGAUGGAUGGACCCGCGGUGCAUUAGCUAGUUGGUGGGGUAACGGCCUACCAAGGCUGCGAUGCAUAGCCGACCUG
This 313-nucleotide ribosomal RNA is filed under the name Enterococcus cecorum. Its description in RNAcentral is "bacterial SSU rRNA". It matches the Rfam family "Bacterial small subunit ribosomal RNA", at positions 1 to 294 of the family's 1533-position model. The record is from RNAcentral. Lineage: Bacteria; Bacillati; Bacillota; Bacilli; Lactobacillales; Enterococcaceae.